AUCAUGGCUCAGGAUGAACGCUGACAGAAUGCUUAACACAUGCAAGUCUACUUGAAUUUGGGUUUUUUAACUUAGAUUUGGGUGGCGGACGGGUGAGUAACGCGUAAAGAACUUGCCUCACAGCUAGGGACAACAUUUGGAAACGAAUGCUAAUACCUGAUAUUAUGAUUUUAAGGCAUCUUAGAAUUAUGAAAGCUAUACGCGCUGUGAGAGAGCUUUGCGUCCCAUUAGCUAGUUGG
RNAcentral lists this ribosomal RNA (239 nucleotides) under uncultured bacterium. RNAcentral describes it as "partial 16S ribosomal RNA". It matches the Rfam family "Bacterial small subunit ribosomal RNA", at positions 16 to 252 of the family's 1533-position model. The record is from RNAcentral.